GUAAAGGUUUCCUACAAGGAAUUAAUAGGGAAUGCUGUGUGAAUCGGCAACAGUCCCCGCUACUGUAUAACUCUUUCCUUAUUGGGAUAAAAAUUUUCGAAAUCUUAUGCCACUAGUUUAUUGACUGGGAAGGCUCGAAGAUUAGAGUAAGUCAGGAGACCUGCCUUUACGCU
RNAcentral lists this non-coding RNA (173 nucleotides) under uncultured Phocaeicola sp. The record is from RNAcentral. Lineage: Bacteria; Pseudomonadati; Bacteroidota; Bacteroidia; Bacteroidales; Bacteroidaceae.